GCUUUCGUGGUGUAACUGGAAGCAUACUCGACUCGUAUUCGAGAGGUCUAGGGUUCGAGUCGGGGCGAGAGCA
Molecule: transfer RNA, 73 nt
Filed under: Stegodyphus mimosarum
Lineage: Eukaryota; Metazoa; Arthropoda; Arachnida; Araneae; Eresidae
Rfam family: tRNA
About the family: Transfer RNA (tRNA) molecules are approximately 80 nucleotides in length.
Source: Rfam by way of RNAcentral